AGAGAAGAAGAUCUAGUGAUACAAGGGAAGAGAUGGAUGUGGAUCCAAGAAGGGAUGGAGGGUUAGGUGUUGGCACCACAGAGGAGGAUGUGGGAUCAUCACAGGGAGGCGGUCAGGCCUCGGGGUAUGGUUAUCCACCCCACUAUCAGCCCUAUCCACAGGGCCCAGGAUAUUCGAUGGGAGGCACAUCGGAGUAUCCUAGUUUUCACCCAUAUCCCACAUAUAUGCCUUA
This 232-nucleotide long non-coding RNA is filed under the name Manihot esculenta (cassava). RNAcentral describes it as "long non-coding RNA (MESC_LNC009995)". The record is from RNAcentral. Lineage: Eukaryota; Viridiplantae; Streptophyta; Magnoliopsida; Malpighiales; Euphorbiaceae.